CGGCCCAGCGUGCAGACCACUACACCACGAAGGCUCACUAGGAAAGCGGGAGAAAUACCUUAGAAUGGAGAUUCCCCAAGAUUUGAAUAUCCCUAAUAUAAUAAGUGUGAAUAAUAAGUGUCAUAUCAAGAGUUUGAAGCCGCUUUCUAAGCACUGGAUCAGUUGAUAAACACCCUGGUCAAGAGCAACAAUUGCAUCAGAAGACCAUUUUCUCUUGCCGUCUCGAAAAAACCGCCAAGAGACUACAAGAGAUUUGGUUUUAUACUUUCAGACUACCACAGGAACUGGAGUUAGCCGCUCUACUGCUGCACAAAGGCUUAACAAGGUUUGACUGUAUGAUAAAAAAACCAAUGGUUUGUGUCUCGCUCAUUCCAAUUUCCGAAGGAACCUGUUUAAACUAGUGUCUUCGUCAUCUUAAAUGAAGCCAUGACACUUUGCCGAGUAUUGUUUAAUGACGAAUCCAGAUAUAGUCUGGAAAGUGAUUCUAGACAUGUUUUGAUCUCGAGAGAGGAAAAACACGCAACUUGCCUUUCCUCCUUGUCCGUGACAUAUCCCAUUUCUGCAAACGCGAUUUAAUGGUUUGGGGAGGAAUCAUGACAAACGGCCGUAUCAAACUGCAUAUCUUUCAAGGAGGUUCUGUAGCCUCUCAGAGAUAUGUGGACGAGGUACUGGAACCCCAAGUUAGACUGUUUAGGGGCGCUGUCGGCCCAGAGUUUCUGCUAAUGGAUGACAAUGCUCGGCUUCAUCGAGCAUAUGUAGCGUCAGAAUACUGGCGAACAGAAGAUGUCACUCAAAUGGAUUGGCCUUCUAACUCAACCGACUUGAACCCGAUUGAGCAUGUGUAGAAUGCCUUAGGGCAGCGAAUUUCAGCGCUCCAAAUUCAUCCCCUAACCUCCCAGGAGUUGAAAAGUGCACUUUUAGAAGAAAUGCGUGCAAUACCAUAAGACCUGAUCAACACAUUGGUAAAGUCUAUAAAAUGAAGAUAUGAGGUAUGCAUAUCUGUCUGAGGUGACCAUAUUAAAGAGAAGAUUUUUCCACUAAACGUGACUUAACUUUUCCAUUACUUUCCAAUUUCUAUAAAUGUUGUUUUAAUUUCAAUGUUUCACGAAUAAUCAACUGGCAAACAUUUGUAAUUUAUAUUAAUUCAGAGCAAAAAAAAAAAAAAAAAAAAAUUAUGCCAACCCUACAUUUUUCAAUGAACUAGCCUGGAUGAUGUGGAGGGCACGUGAUUAAGUAGAAAUGGUAUUUAACUGCUGCUUGGAGAAGGUAACGAAUCAUUCUUGCACUUACUUUUGCGAGGGAUGGAAAGGCUGCUGAUCCAAGCAAAUUUGAUAGAGGGCAGAUUGUAGUGGCCUGAAGACCCGGAACAAGUAUUUCUGAAACUGCACGACUGGUAAGGUGUUCACGAUCUGCCGUUGUCAGUAUUUAUGCAAAGUAGAUAAAUGACGGGGAAAUCAGCUCUAGAAUCCAAGGUGUUGGAUGUCCAUGCGUUAUCAAAGAAAAAAAGGAUUACGGACACUGUUCCGCUUAGUACAGCAAACUCGUAGCCAGACAGUGACUCGGCUGAGAGCCCAAUACAAUAUAAUCCAAGUGCUAGUGUUUCGGAACACACAGUUCGUUUUCCAAGCGAACUGUUGCUCCCCUUCUGUACAGCAGGUCAUACACAGGCUGGUGUUAGUGGUAUGAUGCUGGAAGGGACGUUCUCAUGGGCGGCUCGAGAACCCUUAGUUGUAGUACAACAGCCCAUGAAAGCUGCAGAUCAGUUGCCCCCUUACAUAGAGUCUACCUUCCCAAUUAAAAAUGGAAUCUUUCAGCAGGACAACGCCCCAAGGCUCUAAUUGUGUUGGAAUGGUUCGAGGCGCAUACGGAUGAAUUCCAGUUAAUGUCCUGGCCACCUGACUCGAGGGAUCUUAACUUGAUAGAGCACAUUUGAUAUGUCAUGGAGCUGCAGCUCACAGCUCAUGUCGGAAUAUCUUGGCUUUAAGUGAUCGCUGCCUAUACAUUUGGUACACCCUGUCUUCAGUCAUCUACCAAGAACUUGUGGAUCCAUGUCAGAACGAGUUGCAGCUAUUUUGCAGGCCAAAGUUCGCCGAACACGUUAUUGGUAGUGACGAAUAUCUCUGGCCAUUUUACAUACUCUUACUCAGCGUCUGCUCCUGUAGCUUUUAAAGAGACCCCCCUUUCGCAAAAUAAUGGAAUCAGAUGAAGGUGAUGAUUACAGGCGCGUACAUAUGGUUUUAAGGAGUUUAUCGACUUUGGAAUUCAGGAGGAGGAAUUCAACUCUCUAACUUCUGAAAGAAUGGAACCUCAACCAAGUACAAGAGAG
This is a long non-coding RNA of Stegodyphus dumicola, 2326 nucleotides long. The record is from RefSeq and is a predicted model, not a curated record. NCBI's taxonomy places the organism in Eukaryota, Metazoa, Arthropoda, Arachnida, Araneae, Eresidae.